Rosa rugosa (rugosa rose) is the source of this 2602-nucleotide long non-coding RNA. RefSeq lists it as uncharacterized. The transcript is spliced from 2 exons. NCBI's taxonomy places the organism in Eukaryota, Viridiplantae, Streptophyta, Magnoliopsida, Rosales, Rosaceae. The record is from RefSeq and is a predicted model, not a curated record.
AUUUCGCCAAAUGGUAGUUGUCACAGAUCCUCCAUUGCUCUCAUCCCUCAAACUCAUUUCUAGGGUUUCGCCCAACACCGCCAUCGACGAUCGUCUCCUUCUCAUGGACGGAAGCCACAUCACCGCUAGUCGCAGACCCUUCGCCUCGUCGCGUUUCGAUUCCAGAAGACGGAGAUUUGCGUCUCGGAUCUCCAAUACGGCGUGCCGUUUCAGGUUCCAGAUACCACUCCGGCCUUCGAUUCGAUCGAUAUGAGUGAUGCCGAUUGGGAGUUCAUUUCCGAGGAGCACGAACGAUGCUGAGCUAGAUGCCCAUAACUGGGGAGUUGUCACAACAAAACAUCGAAGAUCGUUGUUGAUUUCGGUAUGUGUUCAAUGCUUCAUAGUUCAUACCUUCAUGUAUUCAAUCUAAUAAGCAAUGAUGAGUGUGUGGUGGUGUGUUUUAUCCUUAUAUUUACGGUCACCGAUUGCUUUUGGCUUUUGAAAAGUUGUGAAUGUGUUUGUUGAAGAUCAUUGAUGCUGAUGUUUAAUAUUUCCGUUUGGUUAUUUUCUCAGACUGAAAUUAUAGAGCGGAAAUUCAUAAUAGAAAUUUGGUCUCGUUUUUCCAAUUAUGAAGUGAUCCUACUCACAUUGGACCUAGUGCCCAGGUGGUUUGGCCAAUAGUGGGUCAAGAAAUAUUGAAUGGUGAUGUAGUAGGCGGGGGUUUCCGAGGAAUACAAAUAACCUCUGGGUUUUUUCAGCUUUGGCGAGCAUCUGGAAUAACUAGUGAAUUACAACUCUAUUGUACUGCAAUUGGUGCAUUGGUCUUUGCUUCCUUAAUGCUUUUUGCGGGUUGGUUCCAUUAUCACAAAGCUGCUCCGAAAUUGGCUUGGUUCCAAGAUGUAGAAUCUAUGUUGAAUCACCAUUUAGCAGGGCUAUUAGAUGCCAUUUGGUUAUUUUCUCGAUCAGACUGAAUUUAUAGUGGAAAUUCUUAGUAGAAAUUUGGUAGAUGCAGUUGCCUUGCUUGAGUAAGUAGAUUGGUCUUAUUUGCUGUAUAUGGGUUUGUUUGUUGAUGUUCAUCGUUUGUGAUAUUUAAUGUAUACUACUUAAUAUGUGCUUAGAUGUAAAUAAUACUCUCUUGUUGCAAAUAGAUAGAACUGUUACCUUGCAUGAGUAGGUACAUGAGUUCCAUAGUUUUUUCUUUUUAUCAGUUUGUUAUUUUGACAGCAAUGGUAUUACUGUGUCUUUGAAGUGAUAAGAGAUGUGGAUAAUUUGAUUUCAUAUAGCUAAGAGACAUAGAUGAGUUAGAAUGUUGUUUUAUCUAUGUACCUGUUGUAUGUGGGCCGUAGCGUUGUUUUCUACUAUGGUCAUGAUGUUCAAGCCUUCAGAUUUACAAUCAAAUUGCAGGAGGUAGCACAAGAUGGGCUGUUAGCUGCCUAGAUUUAUUCUUUUUGGUUGUCUACUUUUUCAGUUUCUUCAGCUCCAUCUUUUUAUUUUUAUUUAUUUAUUUAUUUUUUUAUAUCUCUUUUUUCAAAAUCAUGUCAGUUUAUUUGGUUAUGUACUUAUGUUAAGUAACGGGGGAGUGAGGGGUUCCGGCAAAAUAAUAUUGCUUACUUGUACUUUGCUUUACUGAUAUAGAUGUCCAUUCUGACUCACAAAACAUUGGUUUCAGUAGAUUUGAACUGAUGGAUCCUUCCUGCAAGUUGGCUGAAAGCAUGAUCAGUAUGUUUUGAUAAGAAACAGGUAAGAGAAAGUUAUAUGUAUAUUAUUUGCCAGAGUUUUUCAUAUAAGCAUUGCAUUAUUCCCUUUACUGUAUUUAUGAAGAAAGAUUUGUUUCUGUUUUGUCAAACAAUGUGAUGGUCGUUAGUUGGGUAUCAGUCUGGCCCUAUGGUGAUCUCACUUUAGUUCCUUUUACUUUCUUAUGUCCAACCUUGCAGUCCCAUAACUAUGAUGGGGGUCGGGUUCAUUUUAUUUUGUGAACUUUUUUGAUAUCCUUAGUAUGUGUAUAUAUCAUUUUUCAAUUUUUUUCAUCUUCUGUUUGCUAGGUGAUCUGGAAUUUGAUAAGUAGUUGAAGUAGAGCAAAACAUAGCGUUACAUAGUUUACCCAAGGCUCAUUUAAGGCUUAAUAAAGGUAAUAAUUAAACAUAAGUUACAGAGAUUUUUACUGCUUUUGGCAUUGGUUUGGGUUAGCAUUUCUUAUUUUCUAUUAUUUAUAUACAAAUACUUGGGCGCAUUAAAGAAAUAUCGAGGACAUGAAUUUUGAUUUGUGGGUAUGUUUUUCAAGUAUAAUGUUUUAAUGAGUGCAUUCCCUUGUCUGUAAUUUCCGUUUCGGCUGUUAAACUGUUAGUAAUGCGUUUAUGAUCAAUUCCAUGAAGUUUCUUUUCUUUAUUGAUACUGUUUUAUUUUAGAGUGAAAAAGAUAGUAUUUGCUUGUCUUGUCUUGGUAUUGUGCCUCUAGGGAUGCUGACUUGUUUGUUCCUUUUUAAAUUUAGCUUCUGUUCAAGUACAAUCACAUCUGUUACGGUAUUCCAUUUCCAUUAUUGCUGUAUCGUCUCUGUUUCUGAAAUGGCGUGGCCAAUUGGUAUUGCUGGACUCUGGGAUGCAUUUUUAACUAUUUUGUAUUACAA